Molecule: long non-coding RNA, 1027 nt
Organism: Tachyglossus aculeatus (Australian echidna)
Lineage: Eukaryota; Metazoa; Chordata; Mammalia; Monotremata; Tachyglossidae
Exons: 5
Source: RefSeq, a predicted model, not a curated record
CGGCUCCCCUCCCUCACACCAAUCUCUCUCCCCCGACCCUCACCCCGGUUCCUGGAGCCGAGGCAUUAAAAUAGGACCCAAAGAUCAUGCUUAUUUCAACUGUCCCACUCUGGAGCUGAAGAUAGUACAUCUGCAUCCAAAACCAAGGAGUAGAAGACACCUCAUGGUUGAUUUUAAUUUCUAAAGGGCCAGGUAUUUAAAGUGAUGAAGUGCCAGAGAAUUAAUGAAAAAUACCAAGAGGACUGAUGAGUUUAAGGGCACGUGUGCUCAAAAUAUUCCCCUGAAGACUGUUUUUAAGAGCUCUGCAGACCAGAAUGCCAACCUUUGGUGUGAACUGCAAUGGGUUUCCAAUGUUUCCUGCAGAAAGCUGGGAAGUGGCAUUAAAUAGAAGAUUGGUACAACAGUACAGAAUGAGUCUUUGGACAUUCUACAGUACAGCACAAUCCCACCUCAAAAUAUGUGGACAGUGUGAAGAAUAACAUGGAUAUGUAUUGACCUCUUCACUGUCAAGGGCCUCAUAAGAACCCACCUUGUCCAGGAGCCCUCCUCAUUUAAUUCACAAUCCCUGAGCCACGCCAACACAACAACCACUUUAGCGCUUUCAUAGUUUAAUCCCAUCCUCAGCAUUUCUGUACCUGGGUAUAUCAGUGAUUUAUUUACUCAAUUCAUACUGACAUGUUUGGACUACUGCUAUUAUAUGCUUGUUUUUCCUCCUGUUCUCCCCAUUUGUCAAUUUCGUUUUGACUCUGUUUACCCUACUAGAUUGUAAACUCUUUGAGUGGCAAAGAACAGUAGCCUUGCUUCUGCUGUCACAUACCAAGAGCUUAGUACAGUGCUUUAUGUUCAGCAGGCCAUCAAUAAAUACCAUUGAUGAUGAUCGUCUGCUUUUAAAAACAAUCUAUUUCUUGGAUUUUUGUGGAUUAAUUUUGUGUAUCUUUUCUACAAGGAAGGGCUAAUGACUCAAAUUGCUUGCACAAAUUACCACUGAUACAUCUUAUUUGUCUCAAGAAAGAGUGUAUAGAUGUUA